Polypterus senegalus (gray bichir) is the source of this 2380-nucleotide long non-coding RNA. RefSeq lists it as uncharacterized. The transcript has 3 exons. The record is from RefSeq and is a predicted model, not a curated record. Lineage: Eukaryota; Metazoa; Chordata; Cladistia; Polypteriformes; Polypteridae.
UAAAGUGAGGUAAUUAUUACAAAUUAGAAAGACAAAAGAUUUGUGGUAAGUCAGUUAUACUCAUUAGUCAUGGUGCUUAGGUGUGUAAGGGUAAGGGAUAGACUGACAAGGAGUGACUGAUGCUGGUAGCACACAGAUGAUAUCUUUUCUUGAACAAUAUUAUUAAAAACAUAGCACAAAUAUUUAAUAUACUAGCAAGAAUAUAUGCAGCAAACAAAUCAACGGCUGGUCUACAAAUGAGAAAAGCUGCAUAGUGAAGAAAAGCAAUUCAUUCACUAGAGAAGCUGAAAGUCAAAAAGACAGAGAGAGUAAAAAAAAUGUGAAAGGCAGCAAAUGGAGUGCCUGUGGAAGAAAACACUCCCACCAUUCCAGAAAGAAAGAUAUAUUGCCUGCCGGGAAAAUGAGCCAUUUAUGGUUGGCAGGAAGAAGGAGGGUAAAAAGAGCAGAAUAUCUACCAAUGAGAAAGAGACACAUUGGCCAUGAGAAAUAAACAGAGUAUUAAAUGACACGGGGAGGAGACAGAAAGCGAGGCAGUGAGAGCCAUGGAGCUGCUGUUUAAAGGAGAAAGCAGCCCAAAAUCACACAAGGAGUGCCGCAAUGGGCUUUACCAGGCCCUGUUUGUUGACAGCCCCCGGAAGCCUUGACUCCCUAAGAAGACAAGAAAAAAACUUCAUCCCCACCACACACACACAAAAAAAACCCUAGCAGGGAAAAAAUGGAAGAAAUCUUGGAAAAGGCUAUUCAGAGAGCGACCCCUUAUCAGGCAGAUGAAGUGAAUCCACAACUUCAGGGUUUGAAGUCCAGAGUCCAAGGCCUUAACUUGUAGCAUAAGUGGGAGCAUGAAGCCACUAGUAAAAAACAAAACAAUGUUAUCUGAAAGUAAUACAAAAUUUGAACACCAACUGGAACUUUAAACCCCACCACCAACUGGACCCUGGACACACUGGAGCACUGAACCUGCUGAUCUACUAAACACCAGAACUUUUGAACUGCGGCCUUCAAGCUCUCCUGAACUGUCCCUCCUUUUCUACUUUGCAUUCGUGGACAUGAUCUCUUAGGGUGUAAACUCUUGUUUUACUAUUUUUUUAUUUAGGCCAUUUUACCCCACUUCAAAUUAUAAGCUUACAGUCUAUGAUCAGAAUUGCUUAAUCUAGUGCAAAGUCCAAGCUUAAAGCUAUUCCAUGGCACAAGGCAGGAAUCAACUCCACUCUGGACGUUCUCUCUUGAAGUACAGUACAUGCUCACACCCACAUUAAUGCAGUACCAUUUUUGAGUUAUCACUUAACCAAAACUACACAUCUUUACAAUGUGAGAGAAGAACACUGAGAAAAUACAUAUGGAGAUAUGAAAAUGUCUUUGAAGAAGUGAACCAUAUAAAUGAUAUAAAGCGUGUUUAUGCAAGACAGCUUUGUAGCACUGUGGCAAAGAAUGAACAGAUGUUAUGUACUUCAGUCAGCCCAGUGUUUUCGUUUCAUUUUAUUUUUUUCACAUACAGACAUUUGCUCCUCCUGUCCAAAUACCCUUUACAGUAUAUAACCAUAGUAAACGUGGCAGCUUUCCAAGCUACUAUCAUACGUCCGUCUGCUACAAAACAGAUUGUAUGAGACACAGAGAGGUGGAGUUUGUGACAAAUAAGGCAUUCAGUGUGUGUGUGUGUUCAUGUGAGAGAAAAUGCAGUGGAAAAACAGGAGAACGAGUGCUGCUUACAAGAAAGUGAGAGUGAAAGAAACACACAGAAGGCAGAGUUCAGAAGCCAACCUAAAGUGAAAUCAGUGAAUGAAACCAGCAGCAAACAUGAACUGCUCUUUAAUUAAACUUCCUCUGGAUCACAGUCUGUGGAAUUUAGAAAUGUUUUUGUUAAAGAAGCAGAGGAUGGGGAGGCACGUUGUAGAGUGCUCAUCAGUGCUAUUUCAUAGCUCCAAGAACCUGCCUUUCAAAUUCCCAGUCUGAUCACUAUGCAGAGUUUGCACAGUUUCAAAUUGUCUCCACCAGUUUCGUCUGUUAUGCCAGACACUUGUAGUUUAGAUUAUUUUAUGAAAUAUCUGUCUUUGCUCUGUGACUCAAAGGCAUUCCAACUGGGACUAUUUUUCCAUGAGGCUGAUAAAGUUAAGAAUUUGAACUUUGAACUUUUUUGUGAAGCCACACAGUUGCUAGGAAUUUUUCUUGGUGUUACAUCCAUACACUAACAAGUUACAUAAUAGAAAGAAACAACUCAAUAUACAAUACAUGACGCCAUCACAGCAUUAUAUACAGUAAGCACAGAUACAUAAAACAAUAUGGUAAAGUAGAAUUGCACUCCUGGCCAGGAGUAUAUUAGGUAAGUUCUAUAUACAAUAAAAUAUAAUUUUUAUUAAAUGGAGCAUCAAGAGGAGUCAGAUGA